UGCUCUUUCAUUCUGGUUUUGAAGCCCAACAAACAGAAUCCAAACCAGUGUCUACCGGAAGCCCCCCCACACCGAUCAGUAUAUCCCCUUCAACUCUAACCACCCUCGUAGAACCAAG
Long non-coding RNA from Haliotis rufescens (red abalone), 118 nucleotides. RefSeq lists it as uncharacterized. The transcript has 3 exons. NCBI's taxonomy places the organism in Eukaryota, Metazoa, Mollusca, Gastropoda, Lepetellida, Haliotidae. The record is from RefSeq and is a predicted model, not a curated record.